GUUUACGUCUGUCAUAUGAAAACUGAAGGUGUCAGAGUGACUGGCAGCACAGGAGUCACAGGGUUCUCUCUGAUUCCUUUAAAGAAUCAGCAGCAAAUUCUAUGACAGACACUUCGUGCCGACAUGUCCGCUACCUGCAGCUUCUUAUCUCGCGAUGAGCUUCUGUGCUGCAUCUGUCUGGACGUGUUCACUGAUCCGGUCACCAUACCGUGCAGACACAGCUUCUGCAAGAGCUGCAUCACACAACACUGGACCGUCAAUGACCUCAACACAUGUCCCAUGUGCAGGAGAUCUUUCAAGAGAAGACCUGAGCUACAUGUUGACGCUGACAUUUCUGAGAUGGUUCAUCAGCUCAGACAGUUAACUGGAGAGGAAAUCAGCGUCUGCUCAAAGGAACGAGAGGACAAAGCAGACGUUCUGUGUGACGUCUGCACCAGAACCAAACUGAAGGCUGUCAAGUCCUGCCUGGUGUGUCUGACCUCCUACUGUGAGACUCAUCUGGAGCUUCAUCACAGAUUCCCAGGUCUGAGGAGACAUCAGCUGAUGGAUCCGGAAAAGAACCUGGAGGACAAACUGUGGAAGAAGCAUGACAGAGCUGUGGUGCUGCUCUGUGGGAUUCAGUAGAUAUGUGUGUGUUGGAACAUACUAACCACCGCUUUGUGCUUCUGGAGGAACGAUUUUAAAGACAGAAGGCAGAGCUGGGGAGACAGAUCACGGAAAGACGACAGGACCUAAACAACCCCUUUGAGGACAGAAACGAAACAUCUUGGAUAGGAGGUCAAACAUCUUCAAGAACCAUAAAAAGAAGUCCAGUUGAUUUCUACUGAUUGAAUUACCGGGACGUGGAUGACUGAAAGCCUACAGAGACUCUUCGGGAACAUUUUACAGCUAGGUCAGUUUAAAGAGAAGACUGGCUGGACCGUCAGAGAGGCAGGAAAUACUAGAAGUCUGGAGAAGUUCAAGGUGCAUAAAAAAUCCUAUUUUAGUUAAAAUGCAGUUAAAAUGUGUAAGUAAAACUACUGGUUUUGGUACCUCUGACUGAUAUAUUGUUAGAUAUGACAUCUUUAGAUUAUUAAUAGUGAAGCAUCAGUGUGCUAGAAGCAUGUUACUGUUGGAGCUGCUGCAGGUUUUAACAACUUGAUAUCACUUUACUGAGGGUUCAUCACAGGAUAAAUGGUUCAAUAGAUAAAAAAAAUUAAGCUCUGGUCCACAAAUCUGUUUUUCUCUUUUCUCUGAUUUUUACAGAGAUAUUGGAUCAUUGGAAUAUUUUCUGAAAUGAAACCAUGAUAAAUGUUCAGAGGGAAAAAUGGCUUUUUUGGUGGCGCUGUAAACAACUCAUAGACAUCUGAAAUGUGAGCCAGACUACGCUGCUUUUUGUAAGAAGCCACAGCGUCAAUCCUUCAUAAUGUGCUGUGUUUUAAAAGCUUUUUGUAUCACUAAUAAUCCAAUGUCUUCAUCUCAAAUGUAACUCAAACUGUCAGAUAAAUGUAGUAGAGUAAAAAGUGCAAUAUUACCAUCUGAAAUGUUGAGGGGUGAAGCUGGAAAGUAAAAAAAAAAAACGUUUUCAAAAACUGCAGUUGCCGUGACCUGGGUCAGCAUUGCUUUGAUGGAAGUCCAUAUAAAAAGGAGGUGUCAGUGUGUUUUCCAUUAACUAGCAAUGACAGGACAACUGAGUGCUGCAGUGACACUCAGUUUGUGGAGAUUGGAAACAGAGAAAGGCGGUUUUAGCAGGUAAUACAUGCUGAACCUUGGUGAAACGUCAUAGGUUUGUAUAAACAAAACACAGAUGAAGCUACAGGAAAGUACAGAACUGUCAGUGAGGUGUGUCUCUAACUCACCCUGAAAGCAGGAGUAGGAAGGUGUGGAUGUGGUUUUUCAUCAAACGGUGCUGUACAGAUGUAGCAUAGAUUUAUGUUUUGUCUUUAUCUCAGUGUGAAGCCACAGAGGGCCUCUUUAGGGGUACUUGAUCUAGGUCAGAGUACUUUCAAUUCAAUUUAAAGUACUCUGACACCUGCCGCAUGUCUUCAUGGUUUGAUUGGAGCAUUUCCAACAGUUACUGUAAAGAUUUUGAAAUGUUAUUUGCACACGUGCACACAGAAUAGUAUGGUAUGUAAACUGAAAUUACACUUUUUAAAGCUCUGUUUGUUAAUAAGAAUCCGUUGCGUUUUUUUCAGUAAGGAAUGUAUUUUUUCAUUAAUAAAUAAAGGUAUUGUCAAAACUUG
Molecule: long non-coding RNA, 2222 nt
Organism: Acanthochromis polyacanthus (spiny chromis)
Lineage: Eukaryota; Metazoa; Chordata; Actinopteri; Pomacentridae
Exons: 2
Source: RefSeq, a predicted model, not a curated record